AAGACUAUACUUUCAGGGAUCAUUUCUGUAGUCGGUAACUAGAGGAGUGUGAUCGAAAGUGACUGGUCUCGCAAGCCACGAGGAGGAGCGGUAGUGCUCUCUUCUGAGCGCGAAGCGGGCUGGCGGCGCUGCUGCGCGGCUGCCGCGGGCCAUUGAUGACCGUUCUCGCCGCCUCCGGGCGGCGGGAGGGAGAGAACACGGGCUGAGUGGU
Molecule: small nucleolar RNA, 211 nt
Organism: Rhea pennata
Lineage: Eukaryota; Metazoa; Chordata; Aves; Rheiformes; Rheidae
Product: small nucleolar RNA U3
Exons: 1
Source: RefSeq, a predicted model, not a curated record